This 429-nucleotide ribosomal RNA is filed under the name Pseudomonadota bacterium. RNAcentral describes it as "Proteobacteria bacterium partial 16S ribosomal RNA". It matches the Rfam family "Bacterial small subunit ribosomal RNA", at positions 355 to 776 of the family's 1533-position model. The record is from RNAcentral. Lineage: Bacteria; Pseudomonadati; Pseudomonadota.
UGGGGAAUAUUGGACAAUGGGCGAAAGCCUGAUCCAGUCAUGCCGCGUGUGUGAAGAAGGUCUUCGGAUUGUAAAGCACUCUAAGUUGGGAGGAAGGGCAGUAAGCGAAUACCUUGCUGUUUUGACGUUACCGACAGAAUAAGCACCGGCUAACUCUGUGCCAGCAGCCGCGGUAAUACAGAGGGUGCAAGCGUUAAUCGGAAUUACUGGGCGUAAAGCGCGCGUAGGUGGUUCGUUAAGUGGAAUGUGAAAGCCCCGGGCUCAACCUGGGAACUGCAUCCAAAACGGGCGAGCUAGAGUAGGGCAGAGGGUGGUGGAAUUUCCUGUGUAGCGGUGAAAUGCGUAGAUAUAGGAAGGAACACCAGUGGCGAAGGCGACCACCUGGGCUCAUACUGACACUGAGGUGCGAAAGCGUGGGGAGCAAACAGG